This 521-nucleotide ribosomal RNA is filed under the name uncultured bacterium. Its description in RNAcentral is "bacterial SSU rRNA". It matches the Rfam family "Bacterial small subunit ribosomal RNA", at positions 120 to 674 of the family's 1533-position model. The record is from RNAcentral.
GGGAACGUGCCCUUCGGUUCGGAAUAACUCAGGGAAACUUGAGCUAAUACCGGAUACGCCCUUAUGGGGAAAGGCUUGACUGCCGAAGGAUCGGCCCGCGUCUGAUUAGCUAGUUGGUGAGGUUACGGCUCACCAAGGCGACGAUCAGUAGCUGGUCUGAGAGGAUGAUCAGCCACACUGGGACUGAGACACGGCCCAGACUCCUACGGGAGGCAGCAGUGGGGAAUAUUGGACAAUGGGGGCAACCCUGAUCCAGCCAUGCCGCGUGAGUGAUGACGGCCUUAGGGUUGUAAAGCUCUUUUCUCCGGGACGAUAAUGACGGUACCGGAGGAAUAAGCCCCGGCUAACUUCGUGCCAGCAGCCGCGGUAAUACGAAGGGGGCUAGCGUUGCUCGGAAUCACUGGGCGUAAAGGGCGCGUAGGCGGCUGAUUUAGUCGAGGGUGAAAGCCCGUGGCUCAACCACGGAAUGGCCUUCGAUACUGGUUGGCUCGAGACCGGAAGAGGACAGCGGAACUGCGAGU